AUCCUGGCUCAGGAUGAACGCUGGCGGCGUGCUUAACACAUGCAAGUCGAACGAAGACAUCUGAGUGCUUGCACUUGGAUGGACUGAGUGGCGGACGGGUGAGUAACGCGGUGGGUAACCUGCCUUAUACGAGGGGGAUAACAGUUGGAAACGACUGCUAAUACCGCAUAAGCGCACGGUAUCGCAUGAUACAGUGUAGAAAACUCCGGUGGUAUAAGAUGGACCCGCGUCUGAUUAGCUUGUGGUGAGGUAACGGCCCACCAAGGCGACGAUCAGUAGCCGGCCUGAGAGGGUGAACGGCCACAUUGGGACUGAGACACGGCCCAAACUCCUACGGGAGGCAGCAGGUGGGGAAUAUUGCACAAUGGGGGAAACCCUGAUGCAGCGACGCCGCGUGAGCGAAGAAGUAUUUCGGUAUGUAAAGCUCUAUCAGCAGGGAAGAAGAAUGACGGUACCUGACUAAGAAGCACCGGCUAAAUACGUG
Molecule: ribosomal RNA, 484 nt
Filed under: uncultured bacterium
Lineage: Bacteria
Description: bacterial SSU rRNA
Rfam family: Bacterial small subunit ribosomal RNA
Source: RNAcentral